Long non-coding RNA from Bubalus bubalis (water buffalo), 2235 nucleotides. RefSeq lists it as uncharacterized. The record is from RefSeq and is a predicted model, not a curated record. NCBI's taxonomy places the organism in Eukaryota, Metazoa, Chordata, Mammalia, Artiodactyla, Bovidae. The transcript is spliced from 2 exons.
UAUUGGGGGUUCACUCUGCUUCUUGGAUUUGUAGGUUUAUGUCUUUUGCUACAUUUGGGAACUUUUGAUCCACAUUCCUCUGUUUAUGCCCAUUUUCCAGAGGUUAGCAAAUUCUGUUUGAGACCUUCUACAGCAGAGUGGACCAGAAGACAUGUGCUUUUUGGAGUCAGAUUCACGUUCCACCCCAGCCCUGUGACUUGGGAGACCCUGGUAAACCGCCGGCCUUCUGCUGCCCUGCUUCCCGUGUGACCGCUUACGAUGCUCCUGGCUCCUGAGGUGAGCGGCGCUCCCACGAUGCACUGCGCCUGGAAUCCGCGCUCCUCCGGAUUGCGGCGAGCAAACCAACGCUUUCCCCCGUGUGGACGUCAGAUCUCACGGGUGAACAUCAGGUCUGCAAAAAGAAAGCAAAAUAUUACGUUCCAAGGACCAGUGCUUGUGAUCAGGCGUCUGUAGUAGAGUUCAGCAGCUCCCCCCGUACCAGUGGGCCCGCUCAUGUGCCGCCUCCGGUCCCAGCGUAGAAGGCAGGCGGAGCGGGGAUUUUAGCAUGGCUGCUGGCGGGCAUCGCCUCCAUCUAGCACUGACUGCUCAGCGUGUCCCAGAAGCUUCCCUCUGCGACCAGAGCCCCGUGGAAGCGUGACCCUGACCACACUGGCCAUCGUCUAUGUUUCACAUCCAGUUUUCUUGUUAAAUGCGGUAAACCAAAGGAUCCCACAUCUUGUCCCACCGUGGUCUCUGCCAUGGACGUCAGAACAUCACCUGCAGGUGUGACGCCCCCGCCCUUCCUGGCCAGAGGGACACGUCCAGGGGCUCCGACCUAGAGACUGGACAGCACUGGCCACGACCUGGGAGCCCUGGCCGGAUGGCCAGGUUAGUGACUUGGGGGACGCGGGGGACCCUGGGCUGGCCUGGCCUCUCUCCCUGUGCUUCUUGCAUCUGCCUCUACGGGUCCUGCUGACCAGCGGCCGCACGGACCCAUGACUUCUUCACCACGAGAGCGUGUGAGUCCCAGAGCCGUGGUCAUCUCUGUCCUCGGAUCGUCAAAGGCUGGCUUUCGGGCUCUGCUUCCACAGUACAAAGCCAGACUCUGCCCUCCCACUGAAAUUGGAGCUGGUGGACAUCCCUACGUGUAGAACACAAAGGGAGGACACUGAUAAAGCCCACAGCACUUUGAAUGUCAGUAGCUGCCCUGCCCCAGCUUCUCCUGGACUUCAGCACCCCUUCUGCCCUCACCGUCGUCGUCUUUUCUGUCCUGGCACUGAAAGGGUUAAAUAUCCCAGGCCUCGAUUCAAACUUUCUUCAAGUACUUUAAACUCUCAAAAGCCGAAGCAGAGAUUAUUAUCACUUCCUGUUUGAGCCAGGCUCCUCAUCCUCUCUGGCAACUGUACUUCACUCUGUUUUCUUGGAGCUGGGAGGGCCCAGCCUCACCCUUCAAGCACCAAUAAAGCCCACAAUGCAGACCCAGAUAAGUGCCUGGCCAGAACAGAGCGUUCUGCCUGACACUGGGGCUAAUCACCGACCAAAAAAAAAAGAAACCUAGAGAUGUUGAAAGAAAGGUGCAGUAAGAGAAAGACUUUUAAUCUUUCAAAAUAAAAUAAAUAAAUAAAUAAAUAUUACUUCCACUAAUACAUUUGGAACACGUCUGAGAAAGAGCAAUUGUCCGAUUUAGACACAUUUAUUGAUCUGUAUCAUCCUGUUAUAUUUAUUUUUUGCUCUGUUCAGUCAUAACAUUGUUAGAAGAUCACUUGCGUAAUCUGAAGAGUGAGAAUGCAGUUUUUUCAAACAAGCGAGGGGAGAAGUGAAAAGAAGUGAGAAGAGUCGGCUGGUCCGUACGCUGCUCUCCCGUGUUGCUGGGGGCCUGGCGCGGGCUCUGUUCUUCCUCCAGUGGUGGGGCCGGAGCAAACCUGGCGAGUUACAGGCUUCUGCUGCUUUGCGUUUCCUGACUGCAGGACAUACAGUUGAAGUCCGACAUGCUCAUUAAACUCCAGUCUCAAAACAUUUCAAUCACCAACAAAUGUCCCCUGGAGAGAUGUUUUCGGAGUGGUUCACAGUCACAUUUUUAGUAAAUAUUUCACUUUUAUGCCCCAUGUAUCAUCAGCUGCUUCAAAAAAUAUAUUGUAAGUGUUCAGAUAAGGGAGAAAGUUUAUUUUCUUAAAUGGGAUGUUAAAGGAUCAGUUGUAUUUAGAAAGAGAAAUACAGUGUGUCUUUCUUGGUAAAUAAAGUAGUGUCUUUCUUGUC